CCAAGACAGGUGGUGCAUGGUUGUCGUCAGCUCGUGUCGUGAGAUGUUGGGUUAAGUCCCGCAACGAGCGCAACCCCUAUCUUCAGUAGCCAGCGGUAAGGCCGGGCACUCUGGAGAGACUGCCAGGGAUAACCUGGAGGAAGGUGGGGAUGACGUCAAAUCAUCAUGCCCCUUAUGAGCAGGGCUACACACGUGCUACAAUGGCGUAAACAAAGGGAAGCGAACCUGUGAAGGGAAGCGAAGCUCAAAAAUAACGUCUCAGUUCGGAUUGUAGUCUGCAACUCGACUACAUGAAGCUGGAAUCGCUAGUAAUCGCGAAUCAGCAUGUCGCGGUGAAUACGUUCCCGGGCUUGUACACACCGCCCGUCACACCAUGGGAGUUGGUAACGCCCGAAGUCAGUGACCCAACCGAAAGGAGGGAGCUGCCGAAGGCGGGACUGAUAACUGGGGUGAAGUCGUAACAAGGUAGCCGUAUCGGAAGGUGCGGUUGGAUCACCUC
Molecule: ribosomal RNA, 499 nt
Filed under: uncultured bacterium
Lineage: Bacteria
Description: bacterial SSU rRNA
Rfam family: Bacterial small subunit ribosomal RNA
Source: RNAcentral